Non-coding RNA from Odocoileus virginianus texanus, 1336 nucleotides. The record is from RefSeq and is a predicted model, not a curated record. NCBI's taxonomy places the organism in Eukaryota, Metazoa, Chordata, Mammalia, Artiodactyla, Cervidae.
ACAUCUCCUGCACUGCAGGUGGAUUCUUUACCUGUUGAGCCACUGGGGAAACCCCAUCCUAUGACUUACCUGUAUCUCAAAUGUCCAGGAAGAAUCAAUGUGGGAAAAUGCUUUAAGGUUCUGCGUGAAGUGAAAAGGAUUACACCUUUGCAUGGUACAAGAAAGUUGAAAUAAUAUGUGGGAUUCUCCCAGGGACCUAGAUACCUUGAAAAUAUGGGCUGGUGAGUGACCAGCUUUAAAAAGGUGUGAACAUGCUCCACAAUUUAAAAAGGCCUCACCUCUGUCAUGGAAAUUCUUCUUAGUCAUUGUGGCAGUUCCUGUUUUUUCUGCCUGAGCUUCAGAGAGCACAGAUUGGACAAGCAUUGCUAUGAUGAUACAAUGCUCAGGAGGAACCCGGAACAAGAUGAAGGCUUGCCAUCAGGAAGCUUAAGAACAUCUGAGUGUUCCUCUCCCACCUGCUGGAUCAUGAUCAAGAAUAACAACAGCUGAUAUGUACUGAAUAUUGACAAGCCUCAGGUGCUGUGCUAAGAGAGUCUGCUGUGAGACAAUGGAGAAUGCAUGAGUAGAGAAGACACGUACCAUACAUGUGUUCACCAUUCCUCACUGCCCCCAUGAUGUUGGCAGUUCCCCCAAGAGCACAGAAUUCCAGUGGGAGCCCAGUGAGAUGCAAAGUGGGCACCCGUUCGCAGUAACAGUGGUCUCCAACGUCGAGUGCAGGUAGAACUGACACUCCUGAAUGAAUAUGAGGAAACCCCAGGCAAAUUCAGGUUCACCACAUAUACUCAGGGACGUCAGAUCCACCCCCAAACCAGAAGUGCUAUUUCUCCGUUGGCGUCUUCACACGCGACAGAGAAGACAAACACCUGUUGACUUAAAGAACAGAAGGGUUUUCGACUUCCUUCCGAAAGGAGUAACAGAAGCAACCCUACCGCCUCCGAGGCUGUGAAAGACUCUUCCACCACUGGACAGAAAAACGAGGAGACAGUCUCAUGAGCGAGGCCCGUGAGUGACGUGGAGAGCGGAUGUCAGGCCCGCUGACCUCUUCGACUCGGCACCACCGAGUCCGGAAGCAUGGGGUGGCCAUCUACUCGGCCUCUUUAGCUGCUGCUGCUUCCCCACGGCAGGCUUAGUGCGAGUCCGUGUCCCGAUCUCACGUCCUACCCCAUCGCUUCCGCUAGCUCUGGAGCCAAGAGGUGGCAAGGGCACUGCUGAUUCUAACUUCCAGGCCCACCUUCCCCAGUCCCAUCCCCUCUGCUGAAGGAGAUUCCCUUCUCAUGGGAAUCUGGUAGGCCCGCCAGCACCCCCAGGAGGAAAAAGUCACUCACUUCUUUAGAAG